UUUGAUCCUGGCUCAGGAGGUCGCUGGCGGCGUGCUAAUACAUGCAAGUCGAGCGGACAGAAGGGAGCUUGCUCCCGGAUGUUAGCGGUGGACGGGUGAGUAACACGUGGGUAACCUGUCUGUAACACUGGGAUAACUCCGGGAAAGCGGAGCUAAUACCGGAUAGUUCCUUGAACCGCAUGGUUCAAGGAUGAAAGACGGUUCGGGUGUUCACUUACAGAUGGACCCGCGGCGCAUUAGCUAGUUGGUGAGGUAACGGCUCACCAAGGCGACGAUGCGUAGCCGACCUGAGAGGGUGAUCGGCCACACUGGGACUGAGACACGGCCCAGACUCCUACGGGAGGCAGCAGUAGGGAAUCUUCCGCAAUGGACGAAAGUCUGACGGAGCAACGCCGCGUGAGUGAUGAAGGUUUUCGGAUCGUAAAGCUCUGUUGUUAGGGAAGAACAAGUGCAAGAGUAACUGCUUGCACCUUGACGGUACCUAACCAGAAAGCCACGGCUAACUACGUGCCAGCAGCCGCGGUAAUACGUAGGUGGCAAGCGUUGUCCGGAAUUAUUGGGCGUAAAGGGCUCGCAGGCGGUUUCUUAAGUCUGAUGUGAAAGCCCCCGGCUCAACCGGGGAGGGUCAUUGGAAACUGGGAAACUUGAGUGCAGAAGAGGAGAGUGGAAUUCCACGUGUAGCGGUGAAAUGCGUAGAGAUGUGGAGGAACACCAGUGGCGAAGGCGACUCUCUGGUCUGUAACUGACGCUGAGGAGCGAAAGCGUGGGGAGCGAACAGGAUUAGAUACCCUGGUAGUC
This 798-nucleotide ribosomal RNA is filed under the name uncultured bacterium. RNAcentral describes it as "bacterial SSU rRNA". It matches the Rfam family "Bacterial small subunit ribosomal RNA", at positions 12 to 795 of the family's 1533-position model. The record is from RNAcentral.